UUCCUGAUGGUCCAGUGGUUAGGAUUCUGUGCUUCUGAUGCUGGAGCCUGGGUUCAAUCCCUGGUGGGGAAA
This 72-nucleotide transfer RNA is filed under the name Ovis aries (sheep). It matches the Rfam family "tRNA". From Rfam's summary of the family: Transfer RNA (tRNA) molecules are approximately 80 nucleotides in length. Lineage: Eukaryota; Metazoa; Chordata; Mammalia; Artiodactyla; Bovidae. The record is from Rfam by way of RNAcentral.